AAAUAAGGAAAAAAAAUAAUAAGAACAAAGAAAAAAUAUGACAGUUUCCUGUCAAAUAAAUGUUCUUCGAAAUUACUCACAUCUAAAACAUUAUCUUGAUUUUAGUUUUUUACUAAUGUAACAUCCAAUCAAUAUUGGAACAUAAAAAAAUAGAGCAUACAGAGUGAGUUACCCAUAUUCGCCGCAUAGUUCGUUCAUUUCCACUUACAUCCGACCUACUUUCGAAUAUUUGGAACUUUUUCUGUAGGUUUCAGAAAUUUUACUAUAUGAAAACAAUGUUUGAUAAAGGAAUUAUCUUCAAAACAUUGAUUAAGUGUUUUAAAAUUGUAUGAUUUACUUUAACCUCGGCGG
RNAcentral lists this long non-coding RNA (351 nucleotides) under Mytilus galloprovincialis (Mediterranean mussel). The record is from RNAcentral. Lineage: Eukaryota; Metazoa; Mollusca; Bivalvia; Mytilida; Mytilidae.